UUAACUGGAUAUGUUGUUGCCCUUACACUGU
This 31-nucleotide non-coding RNA is filed under the name Rattus norvegicus (Norway rat). The record is from RNAcentral. Lineage: Eukaryota; Metazoa; Chordata; Mammalia; Rodentia; Muridae.